Molecule: small RNA, 29 nt
Filed under: Bombyx mori (domestic silkworm)
Lineage: Eukaryota; Metazoa; Arthropoda; Insecta; Lepidoptera; Bombycidae
Description: ovarian small RNA-1827
Source: RNAcentral
UAAGCGAAUGCAAAGGUCUUUGAUGUUUC